Molecule: long non-coding RNA, 4775 nt
Organism: Salvelinus fontinalis (brook trout)
Lineage: Eukaryota; Metazoa; Chordata; Actinopteri; Salmoniformes; Salmonidae
Exons: 2
Source: RefSeq, a predicted model, not a curated record
UGUGUCUGCAGGUUUUUGGUCUUUCCUUUCAAUAAAGCCCUAGACAACCAGGUGUGGGGAGUUCCUAACUAAUUAGUGAUGUUAAUUCAUCAAUCAAGUACAAGGGUGGAGCGAAAACCCGCAGACACUCGGCCCUCCAUGGAAUGAGUUUGACACCUGUGAUUUAAGGGUAUUAUCAUAAUUAUUAGGUUUUGUUUUUGUGGUAAACGUUUUGGGUUAAGGGGUUUUCCGUGUUCCGAGAGACAAGAUAAUAUUAGGUGUUUUACUUUGAGUUUUAUUUAGACAAGGGACUUUGUUAAGAUAAAGGGUUCUUUUAGUAAAUCUAGAUAUAGUAUGAAACACGAAUGUAAGGAGGUGAUGUAACCUCUUGACCUGUCUUCAUUGCAUUUUCGUGUGGAUUGAUCACCCACAGGGGAAAUGUAGUGAGGAUAAUGAAAUUGUGGUCAUUUGGGAAUACUAGUUUUGAGGUAAAUUGAUAUAAUAGAGUUUAUAACUCUUGACCAUAAUUGUAGUUUUAACCACAGAGGAGUCAGGAUUCUGUUUUUAAACAUUGGCGAUGACGGUUUUGAAUGGGCUGUUAUUGAAUUGGUUUGAACAGGAGAUAUUUUAAGCCUAUAGGGCAUGGAAAUAAAAGUGAUAGAGAGCUUAUUAGUAAAGAAAGGAAUUUAUAUGGUUAGCAUUUGUUUUGGCCAUAAGAAGAUAGAGAUAGGUUUAUUAAGGUUAUGUAAGGACUUUAGAGAUUGACACUAUAAGACAUGUUGUUAAUUUUAAAUCCAUGAUUUUAGAUAAAGUCAAAACAGUGAGACACUUAGUUAAUGUUUGGGACCAAGCUACAGACAGAUAAGGGAAAGGGCAGACAGAGUGGCCCUCCCCGCACUGCUGAGACCUUGAAGGUUUGAGAGCAGAGAAGGGAGUUUUGGAAGGGGUGCCAGGACAGAGAUAACAGAAUGGGUAGAUAACAGUUACUGAAUGGAGACAAAAGGGAGAAUUGGACAUGUGGAAAAUAAAAGGGGCGCUCCUACAUAAUAAUGUAGAACAUAAGAAAAUGUAAUAAGGUUGAUACCUGGGCAGAGCCAGGUAUCAAACGGGGGAGGGGUACAUUGUGGUCUAGGAUAGGAUGGGGCCUAUUGGAUAAUAAACUAAUAAAAAAAAUCUUUAAAAAUCUUUAAAAAAAAUUCUAGCUAAUAAAUAGGCAUAGAAGUUAAAUAUAUAAUCAGAUAGAACAAAUGACAAACUGUUUGUUAACCAAACCUGUAUGUCCAAGAUUUUAUGCACUACAGGUGAAUUACAGGUGAACUCACUCAAUCCAGUCCCUGAGGCCUGUUGGGGGGACCAUACCAAGGACUCCUGGUAACAGCUAGCUGAAGUAGCUACCCGGAUUCAUAUCACACUGCGGGAGGGUAAGACACAUUGACACUGUCGAACAAGCACAGUGUCCGAGAGGAGAACUGGAAUUAACAGAAUUCUGGGGGCCAUCUCUCGGAUGAAAAUUUCCUUUUCCCGUCAUUCCAUCCCUGUGUUUGUUCAUAGAAGUGAAGGUGUGUCUGGCUUCUUGCUGGUGAUGUUUUCUCUGGGAGAGGGUGGGGCUUUACAGGAUUGCUUGUGGUCCUGAGUUGUCUGUUUAGGAUACGAUGGGGAUGUUACCAUCACAGUACUGCCAGAACCACCACCAGUUCCAACAGACCAGGUUCAGCCGGCCUCCUCCACCACUUCAAGACCAAGUCCCACACCACCACCUAAGCUCUCCAAUCUGGUACAGAAGUCCCUUCCCAGAAGACACCAUGGGGGGUUAAGGCAUAUGGGGGAUAUUACAGCUGUAACACUGGUACAGGUAGAGGUAUGGACUAUGGGAGGUUCCCUGCUGCUGCCUGCAUCACUAAUGUCACUAUUAACUAGAGGUGUUGCUGAUGUAUGGUGGAUGUGAGGACCUGCCAGGCGGUUGACCCCAUUUUGAAAGGAGAUUAUCAGGGAACAUGUGUUUUGGCCAGUCUGAUAAACACCAUUGCCUAUUAUUGAGGUUACAGCUAACCAACUUUUGGGAGCUGCACAUGACAGAGGCUUGGGACCAACCCAGGAGUCGGCAGAAACGUGACGCUCCUUGGUCCAAGAGUACAGAUAACAUCCACACCAACCUGUUGGGGGUCCCAAUAGGGGUCCCCCACGAAUUCCAGACAUUAAACAGGAAUGAUGGCCUGUGGCAUCUGAUGCCCAUCAUUGGCCCAGCUAUUGUUGAUGCUAAGCAUAAUGCCUGGAUCAAUUAUAUCUACUAUAAUUAAUGAUGAUUUGUUAAAUACACCCACACAGCACUUACGGGGGUGGCUGAACAAUUGGAUGCCACCUCGUAGACCAAAUAGACUAGCACUGGACAUGAUUCUGGCCGACCAGGGAGGCGUAUGUAAAAUGUUUGGAGAACAGUGUUGCACGUUUGUCCCUAACAAUACUAGUUCGGAUGGGAGCAUUUCAAAAAGCUCUGAGUGGGUUGGCAAGGUUAUCGGUGGAGAUGGGGGGUCUUGCAGGUGUGGAGGAGAGUGGACUGUUCCCCUGGCUGGGUGGUUGGUUUGGUAAGUACACUACAGUGAUGAUUACUGGAUUUCUGACCCUAAGUUGUUGUUUUUAAUAUGCUCAUGUUCCGUAAUGCCUGUAUCAUACCUUGUUUGAAGAAGUCUGUUACAGAUGUGGAAAGGGCCUAUGGUAUGAUGCCGCUGCUUGAUGCUCCAGUUGGAGAGGCUGAUACGAAAUCAAGCUUUCGCAGGAGAGUGGGCCUGACAGAGGGGGACCCUUGGUUCGCUGUAGUUGAUGUUGUCGAAUGAAUAAAAAGUGAUGUUUGUCCUCCCUGUUGUGAAGGUUUUAAGUUCCCGGGUGGCGACGAGCCCACCUGGUACAGAGUGUAUAGAGGGAUGGACCUGAGGGUUUAAUAUGAUCUAGCUUUUUAUGUCACGUCUCUUUUGAGACGUGAAGAGAGGGAAUCAAAACUUUUUCCUUCUGAAAAAGUUCCCUGUCUCUGCUUGUCUUAGCUAUUUUUGUCACGUCUCUUUGGAGACGUGAAGAGAGGGAAUCAAAACUUUCUCUCUGAGAAAGUUUCCCUGGUUGUUUACUUUUGCUUUUCUUACUUUUACCUAGUUUAUGUCACGUCUCUUUGGAGACGUGAAGAGAGGGAAUCAAAACUUUCUCUCUGAGAAAGUUUCCCUGGUUGUUUACUUUUGCUUUUCUUACUUUUACCUAGUUUAUGUCACGUCUCUUUGGAGACGUGAAGAGAGGGAAUCAAAACUUUCUCUCUGAGAAAGUUUCCCUGGUUGUUUACUUUUGCUUUUCUUACUUUUACCUAGUUUAUGUCACGUCUCUUUGGAGACGUGAAGAGAGGGAAUCAAAACUUUCUCUCUGAGAAAGUUUCCCUGGUUGUUUACUUUUGCUUUUCUUACUUUUACCUAGUUUAUGUCACGUCUCUUUGGAGACGUGAAGAGAGGGAAUCAAAACUUUCUCUCUGAGAAAGUUUCCCUGGUUGUUUACUUUUGCUUUUCUUACUUUUACCUAGUUUAUGUCACGUCUCUUUGGAGACGUGAAGAGAGGGAAUCAAAACUUUCUCUCUGAGAAAGUUUCCCUGGUUGUUUACUUUUGCUUUUCUUACUUUUACCUAGUUUAUGUCACGUCUCUUUGGAGACGUGAAGAGAGGGAAUCAAAACUUUCUCUCUGAGAAAGUUUCCCUGGUUGUUUACUUUUGCUUUUCUUACUUUUACCUAGUUUAUGUCACGUCUCUUUGGAGACGUGAAGAGAGGGAAUCAAAACUUUCUCUCUGAGAAAGUUUCCCUGGUUGUUUACUUUUGCUUUUCUUACUUUUACCUAGUUUAUGUCACGUCUCUUUGGAGACGUGAAGAGAGGGAAUCAAAACUUUCUCUCUGAGAAAGUUUCCCUGGUUGUUUACUUUUGCUUUUCUUACUUUUACCUAGUUUAUGUCACGUCUCUUUGGAGACGUGAAGAGAGGGAAUCAAAACUUUCUCUCUGAGAAAGUUUCCCUGGUUGUUUGCUUUUGCUUUUCUUACUUUUACCUAGUUUAUGUCACGUCUCUUUGGAGACGUGAAGAGAGGGAAUCAAAACUUUCUCUCUGAGAAAGUUUCCCUGGUUGUUUACUUUUGCUUUUCUUACUUUUACCUAGUUUAUGUCACGUCUCUUUGGAGACGUGAAGAGAGGGAAUCAAAACUUUCUCUCUGAGAAAGUUUCCCUGGUUGUUUACUUUUGCUUUUCUUACUUUUACCUAGUUUAUGUCACGUCUCUUUGGAGACGUGAAGAGAGGGAUUUGUAAUAAAUACCAUUUGAAAAUAACACAAGCAUAUUGCUAUUACAUUGUUAUAACUAACUUCUUUCUAAGCAGGGUUUCUCACACACCCAGAGACAGAUGGCUGACACAGAACAUUCAGAAACACUGAUAAGAAAAGGGUGCAGACACACACACAUACUCAAGGACAGAGGGCUGACUACGCACACACAAAAUCUCCUGUUUUAGCUGAACAUUUUGAUAACAAAGAACUUUUGUUGCAAGACUCAGAAGGAUGACGCACAGCUCAUCCGGACCAAUCUGAGAAGACAACAACCUGUCCAGAACCAACCAAAGGACCAGAACUUCCAGACUCAACCUACUUUCUGUGUUGUAUAAAAUGUCUAUGCAUUCUGUUAUCUGGGCUUUUUUCUGGAGGUUCUCUAUGAGCUAAAGGAACGAGACCGUAUACGCUUGUACCAGAUAUCUUCACUCUGAAUAAAACUGUCACUUGUCAUACAAUUUA